GACGUUGAUUGUUGUGUGAAUUAGAUGAAGGUGAUAUCCAUAUCAAUUUUAUUCAAACAUACUGAGAAUGCAAAAAUCGAUUGUCUAUCUCAAACAAGUAAUCUCGACUCUUUCGGAUACUUCAUUAGAUCUUCAGUUCGUCAGUUUAUUAGUUUUGCAUCUCGCCAGAUCACAUUGAGAACUCCAUUUUCUACUCGUCAAACAAUUAAGGAAGAAGGUCCUAUAAUGAAACGUAUGAUUAGAAUAUAAUUGUCAUGUUUUUGUCCGCGGAGAUGGCCUUUCUGCUGUAACCAUCACUGAUCUCGAAUAUCCCAAUA
Long non-coding RNA from Octopus sinensis (East Asian common octopus), 317 nucleotides. RefSeq lists it as uncharacterized. The record is from RefSeq and is a predicted model, not a curated record. The transcript is spliced from 3 exons. NCBI's taxonomy places the organism in Eukaryota, Metazoa, Mollusca, Cephalopoda, Octopoda, Octopodidae.